Molecule: ribosomal RNA, 244 nt
Filed under: uncultured bacterium
Lineage: Bacteria
Description: partial 16S ribosomal RNA
Rfam family: Bacterial small subunit ribosomal RNA
Source: RNAcentral
UGGGUAACCUGCCUCAAAGAGGGGAAUAGCCUCCCGAAAGGGAGAUUAAUACCGCAUAAUAUGUUUAGGUCGCAUGACUUUAACAUCAAAGGAUUUUUCUUUUAAGAAAUUCCACUUUGAGAUGGACCCGCGGCACAUUAGCUAGUUGGUGAGGUAACGGCUCACCAAGGCAACGAUGCGUAGCCGACCUGAGAGGGUGAUCGGCCACAUUGGAACUGAGACACGGUCCAGACUCCUAGGGAGG